GAUGAACGCUAGCGAUAGGCUUAACACAUGCAAGUCGAGGGGCAGCACAAGGUAGCUUGCUAUCUGGGUGGCGACCGGCGCACGUGUGCGUCACGCGUAUGCAACUUGCCCUAUACAGGAGGAUAACCCGUCGAAAGACGGACUAAUACUGCGUAUGCUCACAACUUGGCAUCAAGUGGUGAGGAAAGGAAUUCGGUAUAGGAUAGGCAUGCGUCCCAUUAGCUUGUUGGUGAGGUAACGGCUCACCAAGGCAACGAUGGGUAGGGGAACUGAGAGGUUUAUCCCCCACAAUGGUACUGAGACACGGACCAGACUCCUACGGGAGGCAGCAGUGAGGAAUAUUGGUCAAUGGGAGCGAGCCUGAACCAGCCAAGUCGCGUGAAGGAUGACUGUCUUAUGGAUUGUAAACUUCUUUUAUACGGGAAUAACAAGAGUCACGUGUGACUGCCUGCAUGGACCGUAUGAAUAAGCAUCGGCUAACUCCGUG
RNAcentral lists this ribosomal RNA (487 nucleotides) under uncultured bacterium. RNAcentral describes it as "partial 16S ribosomal RNA". It matches the Rfam family "Bacterial small subunit ribosomal RNA", at positions 28 to 507 of the family's 1533-position model. The record is from RNAcentral.